This 1346-nucleotide ribosomal RNA is filed under the name uncultured bacterium. RNAcentral describes it as "bacterial SSU rRNA". It matches the Rfam family "Bacterial small subunit ribosomal RNA", at positions 28 to 1381 of the family's 1533-position model. The record is from RNAcentral.
GACGAACGCUGGCGGCGUGCUUAACACAUGCAAGUCGAACGGAAAGGCCCUGCUUUUGUGGGGUGCUCGAGUGGCGAACGGGUGAGUAACACGUGAGUAACCUGCCCUUGACUUUGGGAUAACUUCAGGAAACUGGGGCUAAUACCGGAUAGGAGCUCCUGCUGCAUGGUGGGGGUUGGAAAGUUUCGGCGGUUGGGGAUGGACUCGCGGCUUAUCAGCUUGUUGGUGGGGUAGUGGCUUACCAAGGCUUUGACGGGUAGCCGGCCUGAGAGGGUGACCGGCCACAUUGGGACUGAGAUACGGCCCAGACUCCUACGGGAGGCAGCAGUGGGGAAUAUUGCACAAUGGGCGGAAGCCUGAUGCAGCAACGCCGCGUGCGGGAUGACGGCCUUCGGGUUGUAAACCGCUUUCGCCUGUGACGAAGCGUGAGUGACGGUAAUGGGUAAAGAAGCACCGGCUAACUACGUGCCAGCAGCCGCGGUGAUACGUAGGGUGCGAGCGUUGUCCGGAUUUAUUGGGCGUAAAGGGCUCGUAGGUGGUUGAUCGCGUCGGAAGUGUAAUCUUGGGGCUUAACCCUGAGCGUGCUUUCGAUACGGGUUGACUUGAGGAAGGUAGGGGAGAAUGGAAUUCCUGGUGGAGCGGUGGAAUGCGCAGAUAUCAGGAGGAACACCAGUGGCGAAGGCGGUUCUCUGGGCCUUUCCUGACGCUGAGGAGCGAAAGCGUGGGGAGCGAACAGGCUUAGAUACCCUGGUAGUCCACGCUGUAAACGGUGGGUACUAGGUGUGGGGUCCAUUCCACGGGUUCCGUGCCGUAGCUAACGCUUUAAGUACCCCGCCUGGGGAGUACGGCCGCAAGGCUAAAACUCAAAGGAAUUGACGGGGCCCCGCACAAGCGGCGGAGCAUGCGGAUUAAUUCGAUGCAACGCGUAGAACCUUACCUGGGUUUGACAUGGAUCGGGAGCGCUCAGAGAUGGGUGUGCCUCUUUUGGGGUCGGUUCACAGGUGGUGCAUGGCUGUCGUCAGCUCGUGUCGUGAGAUGUUGGGUUAAGUCCCGCAACGAGCGCAACCCUUGUUCACUGUUGCCAGCACGUUAUGGUGGGGACUCAGUGGAGACCGCCGGGGUCAACUCGGAGGAAGGUGGGGAUGACGUCAAGUCAUCAUGCCCCUUAUGUCCAGGGCUUCACGCAUGCUACAAUGGCUGGUACAGAGAGUGGCGAGCCUGUGAGGGUGAGCGAAUCUCGGAAAGCCGGUCUCAGUCCGGAUUGGGGUCUGCAACUCGACCUCAUGAAGUCGGAGUCGCUAGUAAUCGCAGAUCAGCAACGCUGCGGUGAAUACGUUCCCGGGGCU